Molecule: ribosomal RNA, 253 nt
Filed under: uncultured bacterium
Lineage: Bacteria
Description: partial 16S ribosomal RNA
Rfam family: Bacterial small subunit ribosomal RNA
Source: RNAcentral
UACGGAGGGUGCAAGCGUUAUCCGGAUUCACUGGGUUUAAAGGGUGCGUAGGUGGGUUGAUAAGUCAGUGGUGAAAUCCCCGAGCUUAACUUGGGAACUGCCAUUGAUACUAUUGAUCUUGAAUACCGUGGAGGUCAGCGGAAUAUGUCAUGUAGCGGUGAAAUGCUUAGAUAUGACAUAGAACACCAAUUGCGAAGGCAGCUGGCUACGCGAAUAUUGACACUGAUGCACGAAAGCGUGGGGACCAAACAGG